This 253-nucleotide ribosomal RNA is filed under the name uncultured bacterium. RNAcentral describes it as "partial 16S ribosomal RNA". It matches the Rfam family "Bacterial small subunit ribosomal RNA", at positions 524 to 776 of the family's 1533-position model. The record is from RNAcentral.
UACGUAGGGUGCGAGCGUUAAUCGGAAUUACUGGGCGUAAAGCGUGCGCAGGCGGUUUUGUAGGACAGAGGUGAAAUCCCCGGGCUUAACCUGGGAACUGCCUUUGUGACUGCAAGGCUUGAGUGCGGCAGAGGGGGAUGGAAUUCCGCGUGUAGCAGUGAAAUGCGUAGAUAUGCGGAGGAACACCGAUGGCGAAGGCAAUCCCCUGGGCCUGCACUGACGCUCAUGCACGAAAGCGUGGGGAGCAAACAGG